CUUGGUCAUUUAGAGGAAGUAAAAGUCGUAACAAGGUUUCCGUUGGUGAACCAGCGGAAGGAUCAUUACUGAGAUCGUGCCCUCACGGGUAGACCUCCCACCCUGUUUAACUACCAUUGUUGCUUUGGCAGGCCCGCCUCCGGGCUCCCGGCUCCGGCUGGGGAGCGCCUGCCAGAGGCCCCCCAACCCUAAUGUAUACGUGUCGUCUGAGUACUAUAUAAUAAGUUAAAACUUUCAACAACGGAUCUCUUGGUUCUGGCAUCGAUGAAGAACGCAGCGAAAUGCGAUAAGUAAUGUGAAUUGCAGAAUUCAGUGAAUCAUCGAAUCUUUGAACGCACAUUGCGCCCCUUGGUAUUCCGGGGGGCAUGCCUGUUCGAGCGUCAUUUCAACCCUCAAGCCUAGCUUGGUCUUGGGCUCUGCCGGCAACGGCUUGCCUUAAAAUUAGUGGCGGCGCCAUCGAGCUCUACGCGUAGUAAUACUCUCUCGCGUCUGAGCCUCGGUGGACGCUUGCCAGCAACCCCCAACUUUCUAUGGUUGACCUCGGAUCAGGUAGGGAUACCCGCUGAACUUAAGCAUAUCAAUAAGCGGAGGA
RNAcentral lists this ribosomal RNA (592 nucleotides) under uncultured Pezizomycotina. Its description in RNAcentral is "eukaryotic LSU rRNA". The stretch from base 230 to 383 matches the Rfam family "5.8S ribosomal RNA". The record is from RNAcentral. Lineage: Eukaryota; Fungi; Ascomycota.